CACGUAGGCACCAAGCGUUGUCCGGAUUUAUUGGGCGUAAAGAGCUCGUAGGCGGUUGAGUAAGUCGGGUGUGAAGACUCUGGGCUUAACCCAGAGCCGCCACCCGAUACUGCUCUGACUUGAGUUCGGUAGGGGAGCAGGGAAUUCCUAGUGUAGCGGUGAAAUGCGCAGAUAUUAGGAGGAACACCGGUGGCGAAGGCGCUGCUCUGGGCCGAUACUGACGCUGAGGAGCGAAAGCGUGGGUAGCAAACAGG
Molecule: ribosomal RNA, 254 nt
Filed under: uncultured bacterium
Lineage: Bacteria
Description: partial 16S ribosomal RNA
Rfam family: Bacterial small subunit ribosomal RNA
Source: RNAcentral